Molecule: long non-coding RNA, 797 nt
Organism: Haemorhous mexicanus (house finch)
Lineage: Eukaryota; Metazoa; Chordata; Aves; Passeriformes; Fringillidae
Exons: 2
Source: RefSeq, a predicted model, not a curated record
CAGCCCGCGGCACUGGCGGGGCCCAGGUGCGGUGCAGAGGGUGUGGGAGGCCAAGAAGCUCGGGAGGAGCGAGAGAGGCGGCAGCGGCUGAAGGGGUGCUGUGUUUCUCAGAGAAUGGUCCCAAGUGGAUUCCAGCAAGAAUGUGAAGCCUUUUUUAGAAUCUUUGAGUGCAUCCCCUGAAGAUUCACCUUGAACACCAACAUUGGCCAAGAACCCUUGUGAACAGGACCUCAACACCACACCAGCACCUCUUUAACCUCUAACAGACUUAUGCCCUUGGGAAAAUGGUUAAGAUUACCCAGUGGUAUCAGGGUUCACAGGGCUAGGAAAACUUCUGGGGGAUUGGAGACUUGGUGGAUGGAUAAGAAAUUUAGUUAAAAUAGGCUUCUAUGUAUUAGGCAUUGUAUUAUGUAUUGCUAUGGUUAUUCCUUGUAUUUACACUGUGUGAAAAAAUUAAUAGGCAACUCACUUAAGAGAGUAUUUUUUCUUGAACACAUAGAGGGAGGUAUGGGGAAUAAAACAGAGAGUACAGUGGAACUGAUAAAGGGGCCUGAUAUCUUAGGCCUGAUCGAGCAGAAACUGUGGGAGGGACAGACACAGAUUAAGGCUUCACUGGGCAAGAAGUGACCAAGAAACAUGUUGUGAGACUUUGUGAUGUUAGCAGGUGAUGUGAUGUCAUGAAGAAUGUGUAACCAAUGGGAAAUUGUUACCAAAAAUAGAGCCCUAUAUAAGUACCAUACAAGUCAAACCCUAUAUAAACCCCUGGUAUAUUCAAUAAAAUUGGCUCCUGAUCUAAA